RNAcentral lists this ribosomal RNA (902 nucleotides) under uncultured crenarchaeote. RNAcentral's name for it is "bacterial SSU rRNA". It matches the Rfam family "Archaeal small subunit ribosomal RNA", at positions 1 to 872 of the family's 1478-position model. The record is from RNAcentral. Lineage: Archaea; Thermoproteati; Thermoproteota.
UUCCGGUUGAUCCUGCCGGACCCGACUGCUAUCGGAUUGAGAUUUAGCCAUGCGAGUCGAACGUUCCUUGAUUGCAGGGGGCGUGGCGUACGGCUCAGUAACACGUAGUCAACCUGCCCUGAAGACAUGGAUAACCCCGGGAAACUGGGACUAAUACGUGAUAGGUCACCUCAUCUGGAAGGAGAGAUGGCUUAAAUGGACGCGUGAGCUUAUUUCACGUGAAACGCUUCAGGAUGGGACUGCGACUGAUCAGGCUGUUGGCGGGGUAAUGGCCCACCAAACCAAUAACCAGUACGGGCCUUGAGAGAGGGGGCCCGGAGAUGGACACUGAAAGAAGGGUCCAGGUCCUACGGGGCGCAGCAGGCGCGAAACCUUCGCAAUGCGCGAAAGCGUGACGAGGUUAAUCCGAGUGGUUCCCGCUGAGGGAAUCUUUUGUCGGCUGUAAAAAGGCCGGUGAAUAAGGGGAGGGCAAGUCUGGUGUCAGCCCGCCGCGGUAAUACCAGCUCCUCGAGUGGUCGGGGCGAUUAUUGGGCCUAAAGCAUUCCGUAGCCGGUUCUUGUAGGUCCUCUGUUAAAUCCAACGGCUUAACCGUCGGCCCGCAAGAAGGAUACCCGCAAGGACUAGGAGGCGGGAAGAGGCARACSGKACUCUACGUGUAGGGGUAAAAUCCUUUGAUCCGUAGAAGACCACCAGUGGCGAAGGCGGUCUGCCAGAACGCGCUCGACGGUGAGGGAUGAAAGCUGGGGGAGCGAACCGGAUUAGAUACCCGGGUAGUCCCAGCCGUAAACGAUGCGAGCUAGAUGAUUCAGUCGCAAAUCGCGAUUGAAGUGUCGCAGGGAAGCCGUUAAGCUCGCCGCCUGGGGAGUACGGUCGCAAGACUGAAACUUAAAGGAAUUGGCGGG